GUGAGUAACAUGUAGGUAUCUGCCCUUUGGCCUGUAAUAACACGAGGAAACUUGUGCUAAUACCGGAUAAGUCUUUACGGAGAAAGCUUUAUGCACCAUUGGAUGAGCCUGCACUUGAUUAGUUUGUUGGUGGGGUAAUGGCCUACCAAGACUGUGAUCAAUACCUGAUUUGAGAGGAUGAUCAGCCACAUUGGGACUGAGACACGGCCCAAACUCCUACGGGAGGCAGCAGUGGGGAAUCUUGCACAAUGGAGGAAACUCUGAUGCAGCGAUGCCGCGUGAGUGAAGAAGGCCCUUGGGUUGUAAAGCUCUUUCGUCGGGGAAGAAAAUGACUGUACCCGAAUAACAAGGUCCGGCUAACUUCGUGCCA
RNAcentral lists this ribosomal RNA (370 nucleotides) under uncultured bacterium. RNAcentral describes it as "bacterial SSU rRNA". It matches the Rfam family "Bacterial small subunit ribosomal RNA", at positions 106 to 510 of the family's 1533-position model. The record is from RNAcentral.